RNAcentral lists this ribosomal RNA (913 nucleotides) under uncultured archaeon. RNAcentral describes it as "bacterial SSU rRNA". It matches the Rfam family "Archaeal small subunit ribosomal RNA", at positions 4 to 922 of the family's 1478-position model. The record is from RNAcentral.
CUGGUUGAUCCUGCCAGAGGUUACUGCUAUCGAGGUUCGACUAAGCCAUGCGAGUCGAAUGUAGCAAUACAUGGCGAACUGCUCAGUAACACGUGGACAACCUGCCCUUAGGUUGGGUAUAAACCCGGGAAACUGGGUAUAAUACCCGAUAGGUCUCGAUUGCUGGAAUGCAUCGAGAUUUAAAGCUCCGGCGCCUAAGGAUGGGUCUGCGGCCUAUCAGGUAGUAGUGGGUGUAGCGUACCUACUAGCCUACGACGGGUACGGGUUGUAAGAGCAAGAGCCCGGAGAUGGAUUCUGAGACACGAAUCCAAGCCCUACGGGGUGCAGCAGGCGCGAAAACUUUACAAUGCUGGCAACAGCGAUAAGGGAACCUCGAGUGCCAGGUUACAAAUCUGGCUGUCGAGAUGCCUAAAAAGCAUUUCAUAGCAAGGGCCGGGCAAGACCGGUGCCAGCCGCCGCGGUAACACCGGCGGCUCGAGUGGUAACCGUUAUUAUUGGGUCUAAAGGGUCUGUAGCCGGCCGGAUAAGUCUCUUGAGAAAUCUGGCAGCUUAACUGUCAGGCUUUCAGGAGAUACUGUCUGGCUCGAGGCCGGGAGAGGUGAGAGGUACUUCAGGGGUAGGGGUGAAAUCUUGUAAUCCUUGAAGGACCACCAGUGGCGAAGGCGUCUCACCAGAACGGACCUGACGGCAAGGGACGAAAGCUAGGGGCACGAACCGGAUUAGAUACCCGGGUAGUCCUAGCCGUAAACGAUACUCGCUAGGUGUCGGCCACGGUGCGACCGUUGUCGGUGCCGUAGGGAAGCCGUGAAGCGAGCCACCUGGGAAGUACGGCCGCAAGGCUGAAACUUAAAGGAAUUGGCGGGGGAGCACCACAACGGGUGGAGCUUGCGGUUUAAUUGGAUUCAACGCCGGA